CAGCAAGACAGUUGUGUGUGUUUAUACAUAAAUGAAACAGACAUUAUAAGAGCGGGAUCAAUGUGCAAACAGAAUGAAACAGAGCAAUGUAAGAAAGACAAAUUCUUAUACUGCGCAAAUGCCAACAUUAGUCCUUAUGGUUUUAUUAUCUACAAAAAAGAUGGUAAGUUGUACCAAUAUACGUAGAAUAUAUAUAAUAAGCAUGUCUAACAGGGUACAACAACACCACAUCAAAAGCAAAAUCAUAGAAAAAAGUAUGAAUAUUUCGAAUAACUAAUAUCCCUCAUCAAUAUCUUGUCACGUGGUAGUCAUAUGCAAUAAUAAUCUUGAUUGUUAUUCAAAUUAUAACGAG
This 352-nucleotide long non-coding RNA is filed under the name Mytilus galloprovincialis (Mediterranean mussel). Lineage: Eukaryota; Metazoa; Mollusca; Bivalvia; Mytilida; Mytilidae. The record is from RNAcentral.